CACUGGUCUUUUUGUCCUUUCGUUCUUUUUCAGGCGCUGUAGGGAAACAGAGGUAAGAAUUUGCUGCCAGUAGGAUUGUGUCGACGUAAUGUACCAGAUGUGGUUUCAUCUUAACAAAAAAUUCCAAUCAAAACUGAUGAAAUUCUAAGCGUUUUAUAAUUAUUUCUAUGCUUUCUCAAUUGUAGGACUUAUGAAGAUGGAAGAGGUGUUUGCUACAAUGAAACAGGAUUAGAAGAUAUCGAACCAAGUCUACCCGAUUCAAGAAAACUCACCCAGCCUCCUGCGGAAUACAUGGAUCUCAUAGAAGUCAACAAAGAUAAUAGAAAAGCACAAAGAACAGCUCCAGGUGCUGAUUAUGUGCCUCUUCAUCCGUUAACACGCUGCUGGGAAGUUCCAAGACAUCACGUGACCAUAGAAAAAAUUAUUGGUAAAGGUGCUUUUGGUCAGGUUGCCAAGGGAACAGCGGUAGGACUUAGAGGGAGUCCUGAAACGACUACAGUGGCUAUUAAAAUGCUGAAAACAAACGCUACUGAAUCGGACAAGAGAGAUUUGAUGUAAGAACUUGACACAAUGAAGCAGCUGAAACCACAUUCUUACGUCAUUAAACUUCUGGGAUGUGUUACAAAAUCUGGUAUGCUUUGGUUAUGCGGGUCUAAUUUUAUUGUGCACAUUUUGCUUA
RNAcentral lists this unclassified non-coding RNA (679 nucleotides) under Pocillopora damicornis (cauliflower coral). RNAcentral describes it as "platelet-derived growth factor receptor beta-like, transcript variant X2". Lineage: Eukaryota; Metazoa; Cnidaria; Anthozoa; Scleractinia; Pocilloporidae. The record is from RNAcentral.